GCUUAGCCUAUUUAAUGUCAGUCCUUUCUGCCUUCAGCUGAGAUCACCUCUGCUGAGGGCUUCCCUUUCUGCUGUUUACUUUUUUCCUUCAGAAAGGCAUGUCAGUGCCAGAGGGUCUCUAAAACAGAAUAGCCGAUUAUGCAUCAUCUCUGGAGACGACUCAUGAAAAAUUUCAGCUGGGAUUCUGUAACGUCAACAAAACCAUACUUGAAAAAUUGUUUCAGGGAGAAGAUUGAUGCUUCUUUGGAAAAAAAAACCCAAAACAUUAUGAACCUGACCCAGUCUUUUUGCCCUGAAUUAUGCAUGGAAUCACCAUAAUUGCAAGUAUCAGUCAAUGCCUACAGAAAAAUGCAAGGCUAGGGAAGUAAUGGCUUUAGGUAAAUAUACAUUUAGUCAUAUGAUGGCUAUGAUAACUGUGUGUGCAUUUUGUAUGCACAGUUAGUUGAAUGUUAUGUUGGCUUUUACAGCUGAAUUCAGUGCAGUGCUGUGUAGCACAAUAAUUUUGUUUUUCUUCUAGGAUUGUCCUAAAAGGAAACUGUCUCUUCUAUUUUGGCCUGAUGUUUUUAGACACAUUUAAUCUCAGAGAAUCAGAGAUAACCAGAACCUUAAGAAACUUCCCUUUAGUCUCCCCCUACCCCUCCACCCCUCCCUCCUAAAUAGACUUACACGAUUCCUGACAGAUAUUUACCCAGUUCUUCAAAAUCUUCAGCAAGAGAAUCAUAGAAUCACAGAAUAUCUCGAGUUGGAAGUGACCGAUAAGAAUCAUCGAGUCCAACUCCUGGCACCACACGGGUCUACACAAAAAUUCAGACCAAGUUCCACAACUUGUUAAUAUACCAAUUGCCUCAAAGCCUUAUUGGAGGCUUCCUGAAUGCUGACUUACAUGUAUAUUUAUUCUGAAAACAAACAAACAAACAAAAACAUUUCACAUAUGUUUCUUAUAUUUAUGUCAAGGAGCUGAAGGAAAAGAUAAUUGUUUCUUCACUGUAAUAGCUUCUAGGGAUUUCAGUUUAGCAACUCCCUUUUUGGACACCACAUUUAGAAGCCUGAUGUGAGGUAUUCCUGGCUAUGUUUAGCCUACUAAUUGAGAUGGAGGAUGGAAUUGAUUGAUAGAGGACUGUUCAGCACAAACAGCUCUCCAUUGAGGGGUGCUACAGGUGCUUACUGCCUCUGAUUUUUGAAUUCAAAGCCUUCUGAUAUAUGCUCAUUAGAAGAUUGCUAAAAUGAAAGGAGUGCCUCUGCAGUGCUCCCUUUGUGCUGAAAUUGCCAGCUGAUUACAGAUGGCUCUACCAGCAGAUGAAAUUUUAGUUUAGAGCAAUGUGCUGGUGAGGGGGAACAUGUUGGAGUUUGUCUGAUCUCAGGGUGCGUUGUGAGAGCUCAGUGGGAGUGGAAAGGGCAGUGACAGGGUGGGAAGGUGGGCUUGGACAAUAGCACUCUCAGGUGAGAUGUGCUCUCGCUGGCUACACUACAGCAACCUGGCAGAGCAGAGUCAAAACCAGUGCUAGGAAGUAGCUCUAGAACUGCAAUAAAGGAUCAUUGAAUACUUGUAUAGGAUGGGUA
RNAcentral lists this long non-coding RNA (1560 nucleotides) under Anas platyrhynchos platyrhynchos (common mallard). RNAcentral's name for it is "lncRNA (ENSAPLG00000029111.1)". Lineage: Eukaryota; Metazoa; Chordata; Aves; Anseriformes; Anatidae. The record is from RNAcentral.